RNAcentral lists this transfer RNA (75 nucleotides) under Candidatus Tectimicrobiota bacterium. Its description in RNAcentral is "Candidatus Tectomicrobia bacterium tRNA-Pro". It matches the Rfam family "tRNA". From Rfam's summary of the family: Transfer RNA (tRNA) molecules are approximately 80 nucleotides in length. Lineage: Bacteria; Pseudomonadati; Candidatus Tectimicrobiota. The record is from RNAcentral.
CGGGGCGUAGCGCAGUCUGGCGAGCGCGUCGGUUUUGGGAACCGAAGGUCCCCGGUUCAAAUCCGGGCGCCCCGA